RNAcentral lists this ribosomal RNA (468 nucleotides) under uncultured bacterium. Its description in RNAcentral is "partial 16S ribosomal RNA". It matches the Rfam family "Bacterial small subunit ribosomal RNA", at positions 28 to 507 of the family's 1533-position model. The record is from RNAcentral.
GACGAACGCUGGCGGCGUGCUUAACACAUGCAAGUCGAACGGAAAGGCCCUGCUUUUGUGGGGUGCUCGAGUGGCGAACGGGUGAGUAACACGUGAGUAACCUGCCCUUGACUUUGGGAUAACUUCAGGAAACUGGGGCUAAUACCGGAUAGGAGCUCCUGCUGCAUGGUGGGGGUUGGAAAGUUUCGGCGGUUGGGGAUGGACUCGCGGCUUAUCAGCUUGUUGGUGGGGUAGUGGCUUACCAAGGCUUUGACGGGUAGCCGGCCUGAGAGGGUGACCGGCCACAUUGGGACUGAGGUACGGACCAGACUCCUACGGGAGGCAACAGUGGGGAAUAUUGCACAAUGGGCGGGAGCCUGAUGCAGCAACGCCGCGUGCGGGAUGACGGCCUUCGGGUUGUAAACCGCUUUCGCCUGUGACGAAGCGUGAGUGACGGUAAUGGGUAAAGAAGCACCGGCUAACUACGUG